This 442-nucleotide ribosomal RNA is filed under the name uncultured bacterium. RNAcentral's name for it is "partial 16S ribosomal RNA". It matches the Rfam family "Bacterial small subunit ribosomal RNA", at positions 338 to 795 of the family's 1533-position model. The record is from RNAcentral.
CCUACGUGAGGCUGCAGUGGGGAAUAUUGGGCCAUGGGCGCAAGCCUGACCCAGCAACGCCGCGUGAAGGAAGACGGCUUUCGGGUUGUAAACUUCUUUUCUCAGGGACGAAGAAAGUGACGGUACCUGAGGAAUAAGCCACGGCUAACUACGUGCCAGCAGCCGCGGUACUACGUAGGUGGAAAGCGUUAUCCGGAUUUAUUGGGUUUAAAGGGGGCGUAGGCGGGAUGUAAAGUCCGUGGUAAAAGCCCGGGGCUCAACCCCGGCGAGCCGUUGAAACUGGCUGUCGUGAGAGGUCGAGGGGUAUGCGGAAUGCGGAGUGUAGCGGGGAAAUGCUUAGAUAUUGCGCAGAACUCCGAGUGCGAAGGCAGCAUACCGGCGGCUAUCUGACGCUGAGGCACGAAAGCGUGGGUAUCGAACAGGAUUAGAUACCCUUGUAGUC